Molecule: long non-coding RNA, 988 nt
Filed under: Sparus aurata (gilthead seabream)
Lineage: Eukaryota; Metazoa; Chordata; Actinopteri; Spariformes; Sparidae
Description: lncRNA (ENSSAUG00010016156.1)
Source: RNAcentral
UCACAUACCUCUAAAUUCACCCAACUGCGUAGAAGCAAAAUCUGGGUGGCCGCCGUCAAGUACCGCCGUUCGUCUUCAUUCAAAGAUGUACCGUUGGUUUGGGAGGUCUCGCGAGAUCUCGCACAGUGUCCCUUCCCGGGCACCGUACAAUCCCGCCACUGAAUGUAUAGAUACCGGAAGCUUGCGAGCGGUAAAACUGGUUACGGCGUGUUUAGGUUAUAGCAUGGAUGCUGAGGACAUUUGCGUGAGAUAGCGUUGCUUGCCCAGUCUAGUUGACUAACGUUAGCUACGUUACAAGACAGUUACAGUAAUAGCUAUGUCGAAAAGAAAACACAACGUUACUCUCAACACGAAAGAAAAAGAUUGGUUGAGAGAAAACGUUCCAAGACGUACUUUGACAAGAUGGAAAAAAAGGAAAAUCAACAGAACUUUGACUGACAUUGAAAAACACACUGCUCAACGACAUGAAAUUGAUGAAGGUGCCAGCCAAAGCGAAGAGCAGAGAGCAGAGCCUUUCACAUUAACACAGGAAAUUGAUGAAGAUGCCAGCCAAAGCGAAGAGCAGAGAGCAGAGCCUUUCACAUCAACACAGGAAAUUGAUGAGGAUGCCAGCCAAAGCGAAGAGCAGAGAGCAGAGCCUUUCACAUUAACACAGGAAAUUGAUGAGGAUGCCAGCCAAAGCGAAGAGCAGAGAGCAGAGCCUUUCACAUCAACACAGGAAAUUGAUGAAGAUCCCAGCCAAAGCGAAGAGCAGAGAGCAGAGCCUUUCACAUCAACACAGGAAAUUGAUGAAGAUCCCAGCCAAAGCGAAGAGCAGAGAGCAGAGCCUUUCACAUCAACACAGGUGAGACAAAACUACAGUGCACACAUUUAUGAAGUUUAUUACAUAAUUUGGUAUGAAAAUAAAGUAUCACAAGACAACCAAUGCAAUAACAACAUUCACACAUUCAUUUCCGCAGUUCAUGUAAGUGUACCGACACUUUCUGUC